This 266-nucleotide ribosomal RNA is filed under the name uncultured bacterium. RNAcentral's name for it is "partial 16S ribosomal RNA". It matches the Rfam family "Bacterial small subunit ribosomal RNA", at positions 88 to 354 of the family's 1533-position model. The record is from RNAcentral.
CCGGCGACCGGCGCACGGGUGAGUAACACGUAUGGAACCUGCCCGCAGCAGGGGGAUAAGCGGAAGAAAUUCCGUCUAAUACCGCGUAACAACGUUGGGAGGCAUCUCCCGAUGUUUAAAGAUUUAUCGGCUGCGGAUGGCCAUGCGGCGCAUUAGCUAGUCGGCGGGGUAACGGCCCACCGAGGCGACGAUGCGUAGGGGUUCUGAGAGGAGGGUCCCCCACACUGGUACUGAGACACGGACCAGACUCCUACGGAAGGCAGCAG